Molecule: ribosomal RNA, 460 nt
Filed under: uncultured bacterium
Lineage: Bacteria
Description: partial 16S ribosomal RNA
Rfam family: Bacterial small subunit ribosomal RNA
Source: RNAcentral
CCUACGGGAGGCAGCAGUGAGGAAUAUUGGUCAAUGGGCGGAAGCCUGAACCAGCCAAGUAGCGUGCAGGAUGACGGCCCUACGGGUUGUAAACUGCUUUUAUACGGGAAUAACGCGCCUUACGUGUAGGGCUUUGCAUGUACCGUAUGAAUAAGGACUGGCUAAUUCCGUGCCAGCAGCCGCGGUAAUACGGCAGGUCCGGGCGUUAUCCGGGUUUAUUGGGUUUAAAGGGAUCGUAGGCCGGAUGUCAAACGUGCUGGGAAAUGUUCGGGCCAAACCCGGGCCUUGCAGCGCGAACUGGCGUGCUUGAGUGCGCGGAAAGCAGGCGGAAUUCGUGGUGUAGCGGUGAAAUGCUUAGAUAUGACGAAGAACCCCGAUUGCGAAGGCAGCUUGCUGCAGCGGAACUGACGCUGAUGCUCGAAAGCGCGGGUAUCGAACAGGAUUAGAUACCCCAGUAGUC